UCCUAACAGUGGUGGCUUUCAAAUUCCUCAACCUAGACCUCUGGUCAUGCCAAUGAUGCCAUCUGUUCGGCCACCUCCGAUGCAAAUGAGUUCUGGACAACAUAUGGGUGGUCAACCACCACCAAUGCCUCCAUCAUAUCCUAUGAAUAACCAAGGAAUUCCCAUACCUCCACCACCAGGAUCCCAGUUCACUCCUAUGCCUGUUCCACGACCUUAUGCCCCACUCUCUGGCCCACCAUCAGGAAUGCCAAUGAUGCAUCUGCCACCAUUGCCUCAGGGAGUGCCGCCGCCACCACCACCCGAUGAAGCUCCUCCUCCACUUCCAGAAGAACCAGAACCAAAGAGGCAGAAGCAUGAUGAUUCCACUCUGAUCCCUGAAGAUCAAUUUCUUUCCCAACAUCCGGUAUGGACAUAACAAUUACCUUUCUCUCUCUCAUGUAUAUAUAUAUAUAUAUAUAUAUAUAUAUAUAUGCAUGUGUGUGUAUAUAUAUAUGUGUGUGUAUGUAUACCAUCCUGGAAACAACAUCUUUGCUUGCAGGGUAAGGCUGCUACAUCUACCCUCUUCAGACCCCACUAAGUGGGUGCUGAGUGCACUGGGCCGCCCUUAUAUAUAUAGCAUUUUAUAUACCAUCAGCUCGGAAUUUAGUAUGUACUGUCUGUUUGUAGGCUUAGAUUGCAUGUAAAUUGGGAAAUAAUGAUUUGAGUGGUUGCAUAGUUUUAUUCUUGACCUUCUGCUAACCUUUUUGUGCUGUUUGAUAUAAAACUAAUUAUCUUGUUCCUUCAAUAAUAUUUGUUUUAUACACACCACUUCCACGAUUUGGAACGUUGAUACCUUUUGUCUUUUUCCCAUAUGCCAUUUUAGAUUAUGGUGUGUUUUCUGGUAUAAUAUAAUUUUCUGUAAAUAAUUGAAGUCAACCUUUCAGUUAUGAUUCUUUGUUUCUUAUUUUUUUUAUGCUAUUUUUGUAGUAUCUUUCCAGUUCAGAUUCAAUUGAAUCACAAGUUUUUUCAUUUAUUUAUCUAAUGCUGUCUUGCAGAUCUGAGUAGUAUUUUAUUGGUUGGGUUGACUACUGUAACCGUCAGUGUUAGAUAUGUUUGUUCUGACUGAUAUUUUGUUUUCUUCGCUCCAGGGACCUGUUCGUAUUAGCGUAUCUGUUCCUAAUGUUGAUGAAGGAAAUCUCAAAGGACAAGUGCUGGAAAUUACGGUGCAGUCUGUGUCUGAAACUGUUGGCAGUUUGAAGGAAAAAAUUGCUGGAGAGGUCCAGCUCCCUGCUAACAAGCAGAAAUUGAGUGGAAAACCGGGCUUUCUCAAGGAUAACAUGUCACUUGCCUAUUACAAUUUUGGUGGAGGAGAAACACUUACACUCACUUUAAGAGAGCGUGGUGGUAGAAAGAGAUGAACAUAUUGCUUGCAUAGCUGUUCAAGAAGGUUGUUGUAAACUUAGCCCCAGUAUGAGGCAUAUGGAUUACUAUUGAUAGACUUGUUGAUAUCUUGAUAAAUUUUAUGUUGAAUGCUUUCCAUCUAUUUUAUUCCGAGGUUUCUUUUGAAGUUUUUAUUGUUGUCUUAAAAACUGAUGUUAAUUCUCAAAUACAGAUUUUCGCACCUUGGCGCUUGUCCAUUGAUCGGAAUGGGAAGUAGCAGAGUUCCUUUAUCUAAUCCGAUCAAGUCAAAUUACAUAAUAUUGUUCUGUUUUGGCAUUUCAUUUGACUUGUUAAAUAAUUACUGACUUGUUCUUAUUUGAUGCUCCUUUGCUGUUGGAGGGACCAGUUUACAUUUUUUGAUUUUCUUAUUUUGUUCAUCCAUUCUUGCAAUUAUCAUGGUGAAGUAGUGAUUUAGGAAUUUCUGUCUUAUUUUCUCCUUCUAGUGUUUAGGCUGUCUUAUAUUAUCGGGAUAUGUUCAUAUGAGAGACAGUUGGAUAGUUGGUUAGAAGGCCCUUUCAGUUGCUGAGCAUAUGUACCUGCAACUUGUGCAUCUUCUUUGAGGUUUUAGUUAUGAGGUUGUUUUACUUGGUUGCCAUUUAUCCUUAAGUAAUAUAAUUUCAAAUAGUGUUUAGGAUGGUUGUUGUUUUUUGAUUUUUUUGUUUUGUCAUAACAGAAAUCCUCCUUGGACUAAUAAGAAAGGGCUUGUGCAGCUUACCCUGUGUGUCUUUGAAUGGAAGGAGGCAGGUAGUAUGGUCUAAAGUCUUCUCUGCGCGAUAAUAAUAUGCAUAUGUUAGGAUCUUUCAUUUUUUAUUCUUCAAGUCUUGUUCUGAUGGCAGUUUGUACCUGCCAGUUUAUUGCAGAAUGGAACAGUUUUGGUAUUUUAUGUUGAACCAGGAAAAGAAGUUGAAAUGGAAAUGGAUGAGGAAGAGGCCCAGCUUGUUGAAGAGGGCAUGAGAGCAGCUACUUUGGAAGACAAUGAUGACAGAGUCAAGAAUGAAGUCAGGGUUACUGAGGAUCCUGAACCACCGAUGAGGAUUGUGAAGAAUUGGAAGAGGCCAGAGGAUAGGAUUCUUGCAGAAAGAGAUCCGACCAAGUUUGUUGUUUCUCCUAUCACUGGUGAGCUAGUUCCCAUUAGUGAAAUGUCAGAACACAUGCGUAUUUCUCUCAUUGAUCCCAAGUACAAAGAACAAAAAGAAAGGAUGUUUGCCAAAAUCCGAGAGACAACACUUGCUCAGGAUGAUGAAAUCUCAAGAAACAUUGUUGGUCUUGCUCGAACACGUCCUGAUAUCUUUGGUACCACGGAGGAAGAAGUUUCAAAUGCUGUCAUGGCUGAGAUUGAGAAAAAUGAUGAGCAACCUAAACAAGUUAUAUGGGAUGGUCACAGUGGCAGUAUUGGCCGCACUGCAAACCAAGCUUUGUCACAGAAUUUUGGUGAGAAUCAAAAUGAUGCUUCUAACAAUGAAGCCAAUAACCUUCCUGGUCCUGCUGCACUUCCUCCUAGACCUGGAAUGCCUUCUAUUCGCCCUCUUCCACCUCCACCUGGACUGGCACUGAAUCUUCCUCGUGGUCCUCUCAAUGUAGGUCAGUAUUCUGCUCCUAACAGUGGUGGCUUUCAAAUUCCUCAACCUAGACCUCUGGUCAUGCCAAUGAUGCCAUCUGUUCGGCCACCUCCGAUGCAAAUGAGUUCUGGACAACAUAUGGGUGGUCAACCACCACCAAUGCCUCCAUCAUAUCCUAUGAAUAACCAAGGAAUUCCCAUACCUCCACCACCAGGAUCCCAGUUCACUCCUAUGCCUGUUCCACGACCUUAUGCCCCACUCUCUGGCCCACCAUCAGGAAUGCCAAUGAUGCAUCUGCCACCAUUGCCUCAGGGAGUGCCGCCGCCACCACCACCC
RNAcentral lists this long non-coding RNA (3314 nucleotides) under Lupinus angustifolius (narrow-leaved blue lupine). RNAcentral's name for it is "long non-coding RNA (LANG_LNC000711)". Lineage: Eukaryota; Viridiplantae; Streptophyta; Magnoliopsida; Fabales; Fabaceae. The record is from RNAcentral.